This 276-nucleotide ribosomal RNA is filed under the name uncultured bacterium. Its description in RNAcentral is "partial 16S ribosomal RNA". It matches the Rfam family "Bacterial small subunit ribosomal RNA", at positions 399 to 692 of the family's 1533-position model. The record is from RNAcentral.
GCGUGAGUGAUGAAGGCCUUAGGGUUGUAAAGCUCUUUUACCCGGGAUGAUAAUGACAGUACCGGGAGAAUAAGCUCCGGCUAACUCCGUGCCAGCAGCCGCGGUAAUACGGAGGGAGCUAGCGUUGUUCGGAAUUACUGGGCGUAAAGCGCGCGUAGGCGGUUACUCAAGUCAGAGGUGAAAGCCCGGGGCUCAACCCCGGAACUGCCUUUGAAACUAGGUGACUAGAAUCUUGGAGAGGUCAGUGGAAUUCCGAGUGUAGAGGUGAAAUUCGUA